RNAcentral lists this ribosomal RNA (253 nucleotides) under uncultured bacterium. RNAcentral's name for it is "partial 16S ribosomal RNA". It matches the Rfam family "Bacterial small subunit ribosomal RNA", at positions 524 to 776 of the family's 1533-position model. The record is from RNAcentral.
UACGGAGGGUGCAAGCGUUAUCCGGAUUCACUGGGUUUAAAGGGUGCGUAGGUGGGCAGGUAAGUCAGUGGUGAAAUCUCCGGGCUCAACCCGGAAACUGCCAUUGAUACUAUCAGUCUUGAAUAUCGUGGAGGUAAGCGGAAUAUGUCAUGUAGCGGUGAAAUGCUUAGAUAUCGUAAGGAAGACCAGUGGCGAAGGCGAAUCUCUGGACAGUUACUGACACUGAGGCACGAAGGCCAGGGGAGCAAACGGG